CCUACGGGUGGCAGCAGUGGGGAAUAUUGGACAAUGGGGGCAACCCUGAUCCAGCCAUGCCGCGUGUGUGAAGAAGGCCCUCGGGUUGUAAAGCACUUUCAGUGAGGAAGAACGCCUGGUGGUUAAUACCCAUCAGGAAAGACAUCACUCACAGAAGAAGCACCGGCUAACUCCGUGCCAGUAGCCGCGGUAAUACGGAGGGUGCGAGCGUUAAUCGGAAUUACUGGGCGUAAAGCGCGCGUAGGUGGCUUGAUAAGCCGGUUGUGAAAGCCCCGGGCUCAACCUGGGAACGGCAUCCGGAACUGUCAAGCUAGAGUGCAGGAGAGGAAGGUAGAAUUCCCGGUGUAGCGGUGAAAUGCGUAGAGAUCGGGAGGAAUACCAGUGGCGAAGGCGGCCUUCUGGACUGACACUGACACUGAGGUGCGAAAGCGUGGGUAGCAAACAGGAUUAGAUACCCCAGUAGUC
RNAcentral lists this ribosomal RNA (465 nucleotides) under Vreelandella stevensii. Its description in RNAcentral is "partial 16S ribosomal RNA". It matches the Rfam family "Bacterial small subunit ribosomal RNA", at positions 338 to 795 of the family's 1533-position model. The record is from RNAcentral. Lineage: Bacteria; Pseudomonadati; Pseudomonadota; Gammaproteobacteria; Oceanospirillales; Halomonadaceae.